This 516-nucleotide ribosomal RNA is filed under the name Entoloma stylophorum. Its description in RNAcentral is "SSU rRNA". It matches the Rfam family "Bacterial small subunit ribosomal RNA", at positions 426 to 952 of the family's 1533-position model. Lineage: Eukaryota; Fungi; Basidiomycota; Agaricomycetes; Agaricales; Entolomataceae. The record is from RNAcentral.
GAAUGUAAUAACGUAAGGGAAAAAAAUGAUAUUACCUUACUAUUAGUGUUGUCCAAAACUGGUGCCAGAAGACUCGGUAAGGCCAGAGACGCAAACGUUAGUCGUCCUAAUCAGGCGUAAAGGGUAUGUAGGCUGUUUUAAAUAUUUUAUUAUUAGCUAUGUAAAUAUUAUUUUUACAAUAAUAAGAUUAAUAAAAACUAGAAUCAAAUUGAGGAUAAAUCAAAUAAUAUCUAGUGUAGGGUUUGAAUCUGACGAUAUUAGAUAGAGUACUAAUGGUGAAAGCUUUUUAUCUAGAAAUGAUUGACGCUGAGAAACGAAGGUGAGAAUAGGAAAUAGGAUUAGAUACCCAGAUACCUCUCACAGUCAACGAUGAAUGGUGGUUGUUAGUUAGUUUAUAUUUAACUGAUAACGAUGUUAACACGAUAACCAUUCCGCCUUGCGAGUACGGUUGCAAAACUGAAACCAAAAAAAUUAGUCGGUCUCGAAGCAAACGAAGUGAAGCAUGUUAUUUAAUUC